GGAGGGUGCAAGCGUUGUUCGGAGUUAUUGGGCGUAAAGGGCGUGUAGGCGGCUUGAGAAGUCUGGUUUGAAAUGCACUGGCUCAACUGGUGCGCUGGGUCAGAAACUGGCAGGCUUGAGUUCAUGGGGAGGAGCUGGAAUUCCAGGUGUAGGGGUGAAAUCUGUAGAGAUCUGGAAGAACACCGGUAGCGAAGGCGGGCUCCUAUGGAUGGACUGACGCUGAGGCGCGAAAGCGUGGGGAGCAAACAGGAUUAGAUACCCUGGUAGUCCACGCUGUAAACGAUGUGCACUAGGUAUGGGGUACGAGAUGUAUUCCGUGUCGGAGCGAACGCGUUAAGUGCACCGCCUGGGGAGUAUGCUCGCAAGGGUG
This 370-nucleotide ribosomal RNA is filed under the name uncultured bacterium. RNAcentral's name for it is "bacterial SSU rRNA". It matches the Rfam family "Bacterial small subunit ribosomal RNA", at positions 527 to 896 of the family's 1533-position model. The record is from RNAcentral.